Molecule: ribosomal RNA, 465 nt
Filed under: uncultured Klebsiella sp.
Lineage: Bacteria; Pseudomonadati; Pseudomonadota; Gammaproteobacteria; Enterobacterales; Enterobacteriaceae
Description: bacterial SSU rRNA
Rfam family: Bacterial small subunit ribosomal RNA
Source: RNAcentral
CCUACGGGGGGCAGCAGUGGGGAAUAUUGCACAAUGGGCGCAAGCCUGAUGCAGCCAUGCCGCGUGUGUGAAGAAGGCCUUCGGGUUGUAAAGCACUUUCAGCGGGGAGGAAGGCGUUAAGGUUAAUAACCUUGUCGAUUGACGUUACCCGCAGAAGAAGCACCGGCUAACUCCGUGCCAGCAGCCGCGGUAAUACGGAGGGUGCAAGCGUUAAUCGGAAUUACUGGGCGUAAGGCGCACGCAGGCGGUCUGUCAAGUCGGAUGUGAAAUCCCCGGGCUCAACCUGGGAACUGCAUUCGAAACUGGCAGGCUAGAGUCUUGUAGAGGGGGGUAGAAUUCCAGGUGUAGCGGUGAAAUGCGUAGAGAUCUGGAGGAAUACCGGCGGCGAAGGCGGCCCCCUGGACAAAGACUGACGCUCAGGUGCGAAAGCGUGGGGAGCAAACAGGAUUAGAUACCCGGGUAGUC